CAAAAACGACUCUCGGCAACGGAUAUCUCGGCUCUCGCAUCGAUGAAGAACGUAGCGAAAUGCGAUACUUGGUGUGAAUUGCAGAAUCCCGUGAACCAUCGAGUCUUUGAACGCAAGUUGCGCCCGAAGCCAUUAGGCCUGAGGNAACGUCUGCCUGGGCGUCACGCAU
This 169-nucleotide ribosomal RNA is filed under the name Volkameria acerbiana. Its description in RNAcentral is "5.8S ribosomal RNA". It matches the Rfam family "5.8S ribosomal RNA". From Rfam's summary of the family: 5.8S ribosomal RNA (5.8S rRNA) is a component of the large subunit of the eukaryotic ribosome. It is transcribed by RNA polymerase I as part of the 45S precursor that also contains 18S and 28S rRNA. Lineage: Eukaryota; Viridiplantae; Streptophyta; Magnoliopsida; Lamiales; Lamiaceae. The record is from RNAcentral.